AGCUAGGCAACAUUUGUUUUAAGUUUCAUUAAAUUUGAAGCAUUUUGGAGUUUUUCAUAUUUUUGCUGUUUCCAUGGUAACGGCGGCCAUUUUGAAAAUUCCAAAGUCUAACUUCUGCUGCAAAUUGUUCUCUCCAUAAUUAUAUACCAUCAUAUACCAUUUAAUGUCUGUUCAAGAACUAAAUUUAACACUUAUGUUCUGGAAUGUUCCAUGAAAAAUUCACCCCCCUCAAAUUAUGUCUAGAGACCCCCCAGUUGAAAAAAAAAUGUACCAUGUUGAAGUGUGCAUGACUCUCUUAAUAUCAUAGAAGUUUCAUAUAAAUUGGAACACAUUUCUAUUUUUCACAUUUUUGCUGUUUCCAUGGCAAUGGCAGCCAUUUUUUUUAAUUCCAAAGUAAGAUGCAAAACUACACAUGGUGAUUAACAUUAUGUUAUAGUUCCAUCAACAUUGGUCCAUUCAGUUCCAAGAACUAAGCUGGACAAAAAGUGCGGAAUAAGAAUAAUAAGAACUAGAUUUGCGAUUGCAAGCAAUAGCGGAUGGCACCCUUCCCCUAUUGGCCAGGUGAGCGGUAGCCAUGGUAACGGCGGCCAUUUUGGAAAUUCCAAACUCGAAAGUCAAGUCUACAUUAGCUAAGCAACAUUUGUUAUUAGUUUCAAUAAAUUUGAAGCAUUUUGAAGUUUUUCGUACUUUUGCUGUUUCCAUGGUAACGGCGGCCAUUUUGAAAAUUCCAAAGUCAACCUGCUGCUGCAAUUUAUUCCCACCAUAAUUAUAUACCAUCAUUUAACAAAAAAUGUCUCUAGAAUAAAUUUUACAUUGAUGUUCUGGAAUGUUCUAUGUUAAACAUUUCGCCUGUUUCCAUGGCAAUGACAGCCAUUUCGGAAUUUCUAAGUAUUGUUGGUACCUCGGGGCCCCACCACCAACAUUUGCAAAAAGUUUCAUAAGGUUGGCUCUUAUAACGAAAGAGUUAGAAUUUUGAUUUUCUUUUACAUUUUUUUAGUUUCCAUGGUAACCGCGGCCAUCUUGCACAUUCCAAAGUCAGGUGCACAACUUCACAUGGUGGACAACAUUAUAGCAUAGUUCCAUCAAGAUUGGUCCAUCCAAUUCCGAGAACUGUCUUGGACAAAAAGUGUGGAAGAAUAAAAAUAAUAAAAAUAAUAAGAAAAAAAAGAAACGAACAAUAACAAUAUGUCACCCCAACUCCGUUGAGGGUGCCAUAACUAGAUUUGUAAUUGCUAGCAAUAACGGAUGGCACCCUCGUUCCCCAUUGCCAGGCGAGCGGCAGCCAUUUUGAAAAUUUCAAAGUCAAAGAGUGCAUCUACACAUGCAAGUCAUCAUUUUUGUAAAAUUUCAUUAAGUUUGGAGCAUUUUGAAAUUUUGGACAAUUUUGCUGUUUCCAUGGUUACGGCAGCCAUUUUGGAAAUUCCAACUUCAAAAUGCAACUCCGCACAUGUCAGUCACUAUUCCUGUAAAGUUUCAUCCAGUUUGCAGCAUUUUGAUUUUUUUUGGAAAUUUUGAACAUUUGUCCUGCAACCAUGGUUACAGUAGAUAAUUCCAAAAUUCUAAAAGCAGACAUCUUAUUGCCACAUGUCAUGUUAUAUAUCAAUACAGUUUCAUUUACUUUGUUGCAAUACUCUCUGAGAAAAUGCAGAUUUUAUGCAUUUUUCCAUAGGGUCAAUGCAAAACUUGGCCCCAGUUUCCAUGACAACGGCGGCCAUUUUGGAUUAUCAAAAUAUUGUUUUGACAUCUUAGCGUACCGGGUAACAUUUUUAUAAAGUUUCAUCCAGCUGAGUGUUAUAACGAAAGAGUUAGAAUUUUUGAUAUUUUAGCUGUUUCCAUGGUAACGGCAGCCAUUUUGAAAAUUCCAAAGUCAAAUUGGAAAUCAGCACAUGUCAGUUACCAUUCCUGUGGAGUUUCUUCCAGUUUGGAACACUUUGAUUUUUUUCGCAUUUUUGCUGUUUCCAUGGAAACGGCGGCCAUCUUUUACCAUUCCAUACCAAGGUGCACAACUUUACAUGGGGGUCCUCAUUAUAGUAAAGUUCCAUCAACAUUGGUCCAUAGGAUUCCGAGAAACACGACGGACAAAAUGUGUGGAAGAAGAAUAAGAAAAA
Molecule: long non-coding RNA, 2108 nt
Filed under: Mytilus galloprovincialis (Mediterranean mussel)
Lineage: Eukaryota; Metazoa; Mollusca; Bivalvia; Mytilida; Mytilidae
Source: RNAcentral